UGGGGAAUUUUGGACAAUGGGCGCAAGCCUGAUCCAGCCAUGCCGCGUGCGGGAAGAAGGCCUUCGGGUUGUAAACCGCUUUCGGCCGGAACGAAAUCGCCCGGGUGAAUAGCCCGGGUGGAUGACGGUACCGGAAGAAGAAGCACCGGCUAACUACGUGCCAGCAGCCGCGGUAAUACGUAGGGUGCGAGCGUUAAUCGGAAUUACUGGGCGUAAAGCGUGCGCAGGCGGUUUCGUAAGACAGGUGUGAAAUCCCCGGGCUCAACCUGGGAACUGCGCUUGUGACUGCGAGGCUGGAGUGUGGCAGAGGGAGGUGGAAUUCCACGUGUAGCAGUGAAAUGCGUAGAGAUGUGGAGGAACACCGAUGGCGAAGGCAGCCUCCUGGGCCAGCACUGACGCUCAUGCACGAAAGCGUGGGGAGCAAACAGGAUUAGAUACCCUGGUAGUCCACGCCCUAAACGAUGACGACUAGUUG
This 475-nucleotide ribosomal RNA is filed under the name uncultured Pseudomonadota bacterium. Its description in RNAcentral is "bacterial SSU rRNA". It matches the Rfam family "Bacterial small subunit ribosomal RNA", at positions 355 to 822 of the family's 1533-position model. The record is from RNAcentral. Lineage: Bacteria; Pseudomonadati; Pseudomonadota.